RNAcentral lists this small nuclear RNA (307 nucleotides) under Oryctolagus cuniculus (rabbit). RNAcentral describes it as "7SK RNA". It matches the Rfam family "7SK RNA". From Rfam's summary of the family: 7SK was discovered as an abundant small nuclear RNA in the mid-70s but a possible function has only recently been suggested. Two independent studies have found that 7SK RNA binds the CDK9/cyclin T complex (known as elongation factor P-TEFb). The record is from Rfam by way of RNAcentral. Lineage: Eukaryota; Metazoa; Chordata; Mammalia; Lagomorpha; Leporidae.
GGAAGUGAGGGCUAUCUGGCUGCAACAGCUGUUACUCCAUGAUCACCAGGGUGGAUUUGGCUCAUCUGGCUGGCUGGAUGCGUGUCCUCUACCUACCUCACAGCUCCGUGUGGGUCCCUCCCAAAGCUGCAUGCUUAAUGGAGGAGGAUGACCUUCCCCACAGGAGGACCCGUCUUAGAUCAAGGGUAUAUGAAUAGCUGCACUCCCCUGCUAGAACCUCGAAACAAGCUCUCAAAGAAAAUAGACAUUAUAUACUGUUCUUAUCUACUCAUUUGCUUUAACUUUGAUAAGAAUCAUAGCUGUUGGC